This 310-nucleotide long non-coding RNA is filed under the name Ananas comosus (pineapple). Its description in RNAcentral is "long non-coding RNA (ACOM_LNC006432)". The record is from RNAcentral. Lineage: Eukaryota; Viridiplantae; Streptophyta; Magnoliopsida; Poales; Bromeliaceae.
CUAAAUGCCAUUCCAACUAAUGUAUAAUAAAAUAUUUAAAUCAAUCUAUUCAGGCUUCGUUUGAAAUUGCGAAAAAAUUACGUUAUAUGCUGUGAGAAAGUGCGAUAAAAAAAAUACCAUAUUUAUUUUCUUACGUAAUAUUGUGUUUCGUAUAUCGCGAUGAGUCGGUUAUAAUAUAUUUUCUGUGAUUCCAUAAAAAAUACAGUAGUAUAUCCCUAUAUAUUUUUAUCUUAACUUUAUUUUUUAUCUAAUAGCGUCAGAUAGAUCUCAAUACCAAACUAAAGUAAAGGAGUGAGUUGGAAAUAUUGGG